AAGGAAUAUUGGGCAAUGGACGGAAGUCUGACCCAGCCAUGCCGCGUGGAGGAUGAAGGUCCUCUGGAUUGUAAACUUCUUUUCUCUGGGGCGAAAAAAGCCUAUUCUUAGGCGCUUGACAGUACCAGAGGAAUAAGCACCGGCUAACUCCGUGCCAGCAGCCGCGGUAAUACGGAGGGUGCAAGCGUUAUCCGGAUUCACUGGGUUUAAAGGGUGCGUAGGUGGGCUUGUAAGUCAGUGGUGAAAUCCCCGAGCUUAACUUGGGAACUGCCGUUGAUACUAUAAGUCUUGAAUAUCGUGGAGGUAAGCGGAAUAUGUCAUGUAGCGGUGAAAUGCUUAGAUAUGACAUAGAACACCAAUUGCGAAGGCAGCUUGCUACACGACCAUUGACACUGAGGCACGAAAGCGUGGGGAUCAAACAGGA
RNAcentral lists this ribosomal RNA (424 nucleotides) under uncultured Dinghuibacter sp. RNAcentral's name for it is "bacterial SSU rRNA". It matches the Rfam family "Bacterial small subunit ribosomal RNA", at positions 356 to 777 of the family's 1533-position model. Lineage: Bacteria; Pseudomonadati; Bacteroidota; Chitinophagia; Chitinophagales; Chitinophagaceae. The record is from RNAcentral.